UGGGGAAUUUUGGACAAUGGGCGAAAGCCUGAUCCAGCAAUGCCGCGUGUGUGAAGAAGGCCUUCGGGUUGUAAAGCACUUUUGUCCGGAAAGAAAUCCUUGGCUCUAAUACAGUCGGGGGAUGACGGUACCGGAAGAAUAAGCACCGGCUAACUACGUGCCAGCAGCCGCGGUAAUACGUAGGGUGCAAGCGUUAAUCGGAAUUACUGGGCGUAAAGCGUGCGCAGGCGGUUUGCUAAGACCGAUGUGAAAUCCCCGGGCUCAACCUGGGAACUGCAUUGGUGACUGGCAGGCUAGAGUAUGGCAGAGGGGGGUAGAAUUCCACGUGUAGCAGUGAAAUGCGUAGAGAUGUGGAGGAAUACCGAUGGCGAAGGCAGCCCCCUGGGCCAAUACUGACGCUCAUGCACGAAAAGCGUGGGGGAGCAAAACAGGAUUAGAUACCCCUGGUAGUCCACGCCCUAAACGAUGUCAACUAGUUGUUGGGGAUUCAUUUCCUUAGUAACGUAGCUAACGCGUG
Molecule: ribosomal RNA, 517 nt
Filed under: uncultured bacterium
Lineage: Bacteria
Description: partial 16S ribosomal RNA
Rfam family: Bacterial small subunit ribosomal RNA
Source: RNAcentral